UAUAUUUUGGUGUAUGAAGCAUAUAAUUUUUUGAAAAUUAGGGUGAAUAGUUUAAGUCUUUUAAAUAUGA
This 70-nucleotide transfer RNA is filed under the name Evania appendigaster. Its description in RNAcentral is "tRNA-Gln". The record is from RNAcentral. Lineage: Eukaryota; Metazoa; Arthropoda; Insecta; Hymenoptera; Evaniidae.